UGGGGAAUAUUGGACAAUGGGCGAAAGCCUGAUCCAGCCAUGCCGCGUGUGUGAAGAAGGUCUUCGGAUUGUAAAGCACUUUAAGUUGGGAGGAAGGGCAGUAAGCGAAUACCUUGCUGUUUUGACGUUACCGACAGAAUAAGCACCGGCUAACUCUGUGCCAGCAGCCGCGGUAAUACAGAGGGUGCAAGCGUUAAUCGGAAUUACUGGGCGUAAAGCGCGCGUAGGUGGUUCGUUAAGUUGAAUGUGAAAGCCCCGGGCUCAACCUGGGAAGUGCAUCAAAAACUGGCGAGCUAGAGUAGAGCAGAGGGUGGUGGAAUUUCCUGUGUAGCGGUGAAAUGCGUAGAUAUAGGAAGGAACACCAGUGGCGAAGGCGACCACCUGGGCUCAUACUGACACUGAGGUGCGAAAGCGUGGGGAGCAAACAGG
This 429-nucleotide ribosomal RNA is filed under the name Pseudomonadota bacterium. RNAcentral describes it as "Proteobacteria bacterium partial 16S ribosomal RNA". It matches the Rfam family "Bacterial small subunit ribosomal RNA", at positions 355 to 776 of the family's 1533-position model. The record is from RNAcentral. Lineage: Bacteria; Pseudomonadati; Pseudomonadota.